This is an RNA transcript of Rhododendron vialii, 1999 nucleotides long. It is a transcript of the gene named vicilin-like seed storage protein At2g18540, with no coding region annotated. The transcript is spliced from 2 exons. Lineage: Eukaryota; Viridiplantae; Streptophyta; Magnoliopsida; Ericales; Ericaceae. The record is from RefSeq and is a predicted model, not a curated record.
UACUCCUCCCCCAUCAUUCCAUCACUGCCCAUUUAAGGACUGUAUCACCUGAAAAAGCUCUACACAAAGUGGAGCCUGUCUAAUCUAUGUCUAUUGAAACACCCAUCUGAUCCCCCUUCUCUGAACCGACCAGAGCUCGAUGGAGGACGACGGCGACCGGAGAAACUCUCCACCGCUGCCUUCCACCUACGUGACCCUGGUCCAACUCCAGCAGCGAUGGCUCCAAGAGAAACAGCGAAAGCAGAAAGAGGAAGAGGAGAGGGAAGAACAAGAGCGCAAACAGAGGAUGCAGAAAGAACAAGAAGAUGAGGAAAAACGAAAGCGCCAAGAAGAAGAAGAACAUCAACGAAAACAAAAACAAGCGAACCUCCAGAAAAGACCAGUCCAGUCGACCGCUACUUUCCAUCGGCGAGAUCAUCGCCCGCCUUUGAAAAGUUCCGCGCAGUUUAGGGCGGUUGGGGUUAGCGAUGGGGAAUCAAAAAGGACCGAUGAUUUGAAGCAGAAGAAGGAGGGGUAUAAUGAGGGGAAGAAUUGGAAAAUGAAGGGAAAACCUAGGGCGGAGGAAGACCUAAGUGGAGGUAAGGAACAGUUGCUGCCUGAAGAAAAGGAGAAUGUAGUGGAUAAAAUUCAUGUGGUUUCUACUGAAAGAGACUACUCUGAAAAGGAAAGGGUUACACGUAAAUGCAAGAAAUUGAGGAAUAAUAAGAGGGGGAAAGCUAGGGUAGAGGAAGACGUAGCCAUUGGUAGGGAACGCUUGUCGUUAGAAAAGGAGGUUGAGCCUGCUGAGAAUGAUGUUGUUCCAGUGGUUUCAACUGAAAGAAGGUGUGAAAAGGAAAUUGUGGGGAAAUGUGAGGAGGGGGUUUCAUCCAGUAGAUGGAAAAGAGGGAAUGGGAAUUAUCGCAGGGGUGUGAAAAAUAAGGGGAAUAAUAAGAGGGUAGAGGAAGAAGACCUGAUAAACAUUGGUAGGGAGGAGAUGUUGUCAAAAAAGGAGGUUGAAGCUGAGAAUGUUGCGGCGGUGGUUUCAACCGAACGAGAGGGUGGUGGAUUAGAGGAGGGGAAUGGGAAGAAUUUGGUGGUGAAUGGUAGUAGGGUUUGGCAGGAGAGAGUGGGGGGUACGGUGGUGGAUCGGCCGGAGAGAGUUUUGGGCAAGUUUGGGGGUCUUUCGGUGAGAGGAGGAGGGUAUGGGAGAAAUGCCGGGAAUGUGAAUGGCGCUCCGAGGAGGUACGGGCGGGAUUAUGGGAGGGGUAAUAGCCGGAGACUGCAGAGGCCGAGGGAUUCGAACUUGGUGUGGGUUAGAAAGGAGGAAGGGGACACUUCAGAUGCCAAUGUUGCCGAAGUUUGAAGCUCGGGUAAUGCGGAAUUUGUCGUUCUUUCAAUGUGUUUUCUAUUUGGGUAAUGUUUAUCUUUGGUGACGUAACGCGGGUACUGUUAUUGUUGACAAUCGCUUUGUAGUGUAGUCAAGUUGUGUAACUAUUAUUAACAUUGCGAAUGAAUAAUGUGUUGGACAGUGUAGUGAAAUUUAGUGGUUGUUUCCCCGGAUGAAAGAGCUGAAAAGAGAUUAUGGUAUCAUGCAAAAUGUCUAAAACUAGUUGAGGAAAACAGAAGAUUCAGAAAAAGUUCUUUUGCGGGGCAGCUGAUGGAAGCUUUGUAUUGAGGUGUGCUGACGAAGGCUGGAGAAGCUAGGAGAAACCAGUACAGAUGAGGCCCGAGGAAACCAGUUUUUGCAGAAAGGAUUUCUUGUACAUUUAUCUAUCACUAUUUCUGAUGACUUCCAUCGAGUUUCCUUUCGAAAAUGGUUGAUUGGAACAGAGAUGUUAGUUGGGUGCCAUGCAGAAAGGAUUUUUUGUACGUUUAUCUAUCACUAUUUCUGAUGACUUCCAUUGAGUUUCCUUUUGAAAAUGGUGGAUUGGAACAGAGAUGUUAGUUGCGUGCCAUUGGCAAUGAGAAUUGUAGAGAAUUGACUUAUGGGAAUUGUACCAUUAUGCUCUACAGCUCAAAA